GCUUAUGGCCAUACCACCCUGAACACGCCCGCUCUCGUUUGAUCUCGGAAGCAUAGAAAGGGGCAGGGCCUGGUCAGUACCUGGAUGGAAGACCGCCUGGGAAUACCAGGCGCUGUAAGCU
RNAcentral lists this ribosomal RNA (121 nucleotides) under Sphaeramia orbicularis (orbiculate cardinalfish). The record is from RNAcentral. Lineage: Eukaryota; Metazoa; Chordata; Actinopteri; Kurtiformes; Apogonidae.